CGCCUGUUUAUCAAAAACAUCUUUUCUUGUUAGUUUUUGAAGUAUGGCCUGCCCGCUGACUUUAGUGUUGAAGGGCCGCGGUAUUUUGACCGUGCAAAGGUAGCAUAGUCAUUAGUUCUUUAAUUGUGAUCUGGUAUGAAUGGCUUGACGAGGCAUGGGCUGUCUUAAUUUUGAAUUGUUUAUUGAAUUUGGUCUUUGAGUUAAAAUUCUUAGAUGUUUUUAUGGGACGAGAAGACCCUAUAGAGUUUAACAUUUAUUAUGGUCCUUUUCUGUUUGUGAGGGUUCACUGGGCCGUCUAAUAUGUUUUGUUGGGGUGAUGGGAGGGAUUAAUUUAACCCCUCCUUUUUAUUAUUAUAUUUAUUUAUAUUUACUUGAUCCAUUUAUUUUGAUUGUAAGAUUAAAUUACCUUAGGGAUAACAGCGUAA
RNAcentral lists this ribosomal RNA (425 nucleotides) under Reticulitermes sp. ALS-2006f. RNAcentral describes it as "partial 16S ribosomal RNA". It matches the Rfam family "Bacterial large subunit ribosomal RNA", at positions 1797 to 2485 of the family's 2925-position model. Lineage: Eukaryota; Metazoa; Arthropoda; Insecta; Blattodea; Rhinotermitidae. The record is from RNAcentral.